Molecule: ribosomal RNA, 493 nt
Filed under: uncultured bacterium
Lineage: Bacteria
Description: partial 16S ribosomal RNA
Rfam family: Bacterial small subunit ribosomal RNA
Source: RNAcentral
GAGUGAACGCUGGCGGUAGGCCUAACACAUGCAAGUCGAACGGCAGCACAGUAAGAGCUUGCUCUUACGGGUGGCGAGUGGCGGACGGGUGAGGAAUACAUCGGAAUCUACUUUUUCGUGGGGGAUAACGUAGGGAAACUUACGCUAAUACCGCAUACGACCUACGGGUGAAAGCAGGGGAUCUUCGGCCCUUGCGCGAUUGAAUGAGCCGAUGUCGGAUUAGCUAGUUGGCGGGGUAAAGGCCCACCAAGGCGACGAUCCGUAGCUGGUCUGAGAGGAUGAUCAGCCACACUGGAACUGAGACACGGUCCAGACUCCUACGGGAGGCAGUAGUGGGGAAUAUUGGACAAUGGGCGCAAGCCUGAUCCAGCCAUACCGCGUGGGUGAAGAAGGCCUUCGGGUCGUAAAGCCCUUUUGUUGGGAAAGAAAAGCAGCAGGUUAAUACCCCGCUGUUCUGACGGUACCCAAAGAAUAAGCACCGGCUAACUUCGUG